AUCCGCCAGAUUGAUCUGCGUCUGUAGCUCCAUGAAGAAAUCCUCCUUCUUCAAUCCACGAUGUGACAAAUCGACCUGGAACAAGAAGGUGCCCGCUCGUAAAAUCCGAUACAUUGUGCGACCAACCGUGCCGUAUUCGUCAUGUCUGCCGACGACUGAGACACGCGAUCAACGAGACGAAAGGAUUGACCCCGUCCAUUGGAACGCCCGCGGUCAGCCCUGAAGUAGCUUCGUCCCUGUCGUUCCAAGCAUCGAUUCAUGGGAUUGAUCCAGAAUGAAAUCAGUUUCAUCGAUAUUCGCAUCGCCUUACGCUUCAUUCCGCACGGGAUCGAAAACACCUUGCGACGGUCUGAUCGUCGAACGGUUCACCCUCACCCUUCGGCAAUUUUUCACGCGAUUCCAAUCCCCGACAACGAAGCUGUCGGCUCGUCGUCGAGCCGAUCUGCCGAGCGUACGCGAGUUGGCUCGCACAAAAGCGCAUCCUCGCGAGGAAAUUUAUCGCUACGGGACGACGCGACGUUUCUCGUGAAAAGCGUCGAAGAAAGGAGGUACACGCGGCGGCGGAGGGAACGAAGAGGACUCGGAGCAAUCUCGUGAAUAGGCACGGCAGCCUUCCUAGGAAGCGUCGCGAAUCAAUUCACGGAUUGACUCUGCGCUGCAACUCGUACCCGAUUUUCCAGCUUUCAGCGCGGAUAUCGAGCGUCUCCGAGCGGAAAACGGAAUAUCCCCCGGCUCUGUCCGGUUACUGCAUGAAAAAUCGACCGGCAAUGGAAUGCAAUAUACCCUUGAUGGACCCCGAGGUCCAACUCGUUCACCAUUAGCAGUGUCAUAGCCGUUAUUCAUCUAAUUCCAAUGGAUCCCGUAAUAAUGAUCGAACGUCGAUGCGACCGACAAAUAACGCGUAAUGACUACGUCGGUUUAUGCAGGUAAUUGCUUUUACUCCGAGCCGCUUCAUUAUGAUAUAAUGAAAAGAAAAGAGACAGCAUGAGAGUGAGAGAGAGAGUAGAGCAGCCCCAAAAUGGGGUAUAUCAUCGUGGCUGCGGCGAGAUAUCGGGCUCGGGGCCACAAUGAUGAUAAUCAUCGUAGUCGUCGUCAUCAUCGUCAUCUCCAUGGACAACAAGCGUCCGCGCACCCCUUGACGAGGGAUCGGGACCGCCCUGAAAGCCACGGUGAUUGCGACUCCUCGAUUUAUUGAACGGCCCUGGAUAACGUCCCCACGCGUCAUGGAUUUCGCGAAUUUACAUGAAAAUCGACCGGGUCUUAUUUUAAUUGGGAAACGGACGCCGAUCACUAGCGAUUCAUGGAAAAUUAAAUUAACACACGCGAGAAGGCGACCUCGUUGCGAUAGUUUUAUGAAUUUUUUAAGCGAUUACCAAUAUUUCAAUCCAUCGAUUUUCAACUAAUAAUUUUCUUUUCAAAACUGAUACAUAAAAUCAAACAAAACAUCGAAUCAAAGGAAAAAAGAAACGAUACACCUGUUUCACUUGCAUUUUUUCCCCAGGCGGGGGAAAAAACGCGGAAUCCCAGUCCCAUUUUCCAAUGGCGAGCUUCAAAUUGAUCGUUCGAAACGUUGAAGAAGGAUUAGCUGCUUGCGAAUCUAGAAAAUACAACCGCUACACGCCCGAUCGAAAUUAAAACGUCCGGAAAAUCCCAGAUUUAUGCCCAUCUGGCCGGUCCUUCAAACCAUCGCUCCAUAUCCGUCAGGUUACGAUGAUCCCUCGAUGAUUCUCUCUCUGAAUGUUACACGAAUUUCACCUACGCGCAUUUCCCUCUACUAUUCCGACCGAUACGGGAUGAUGAACUACGCGGAUUGAAAGCGAUCACGGGUGUUAACAACGUUAUGACAUCCAACCUGGCAUAUCGUUGUGGAUGUGGUCACGGUGCCUAUGGUGUUUCUCGUGGCGCGAGGUUGUGGCGUUUACAUGUAACCCAGGCCGAAAACCACCGGCGUACGAAGUCGAGUGUCGUGGAAAUUCACUUACGGUUACCGCAAUGGGUCACCUGCUCCACUGUUGUCGCACCUUCUUUCACUUAUUACUUUAUAUUAUUUCAUUUUAGUGGAAAUUUUCAACAAUUCCGAAAUUAGCCCAAGUAUUAUUGUUUCUAAUUAUCGAGCUAAAAUUUUUUUUGUAUUCUAAAAUUCUUUGUAGUCUAAAAUUUUCUCGCUAAAUCGAAGAUGAUUAUAAUCAUCCAUGGUUCCGUUUGCCUUUUUAAUCGGCUGAAACAAAAUCGGCAAAGGGGGUAGUUUCACCCCCGUUCUGUCGUUCCUCUGGUAGGCAGAUCCGCGCGUGUUCACGCGUGUACGUACGAGCAAUAAUGCAACGAUACAGCCGGUGUUUAGUACUCCCGUAUUAUCGUGAUCCGUGUUUGACCAUGGUUCGCAGCCGCGGCUGUUUGCGCGAUACACAUCCGCGUGGAUUGCUACUAGUCGGAUCACGAUAUCGAGGCAGAUGUAUCGUUAAGAUAUCGAACGUGAUAUCAAGCGUCGAAUAUGCCUGGUGCACGUAUUCGCGUAACCGGCAAACGAUCCUGGCCCCGAAACGAAAUUGUUCCGAGAGAAUCACGCUCGAGCCAGGCAUCGAUUGCCACGGUUACAGCCACUUCGAAAGGCGUAGGCGAUAGUCAAGCAACGAUUUUGACGUGGUUAACUGCCGGCUAGCCCCGUACGUUCAAACGAUCCUUCGAUACCGACGGCAACAAUUCAGCUUUUGCUUUUUUAACCGACGCGACGUUCAGUUGCCUGUCUUUCGUUUCCUCGUUAACGAUCGUUCGCUUUAUCGUCACUGUUGUUUAUAAAGCUUCUAUCUCUUUUCUCGUACAAAUUUUUGUGGCACAAAUUUUUACGAUUUUAUGAUAGAUGAUUUCAAUACUCAGAAUUUCGAAUAUUCAAUAAUUUUAUUAUUUGCCAAACUAUCUUCAUACGCGAUUGACUCGAAGAUCCAACACGAAGCUCAAAGCUCUCCGUUUCGCAAUCGAACCAAACCAGAAUCAGAGCCAUUGAAAGCGGACGCCAAACGAAAUACGUCCGACAAAUCCCAAGCAGGACACUCGAGAUAUACGAUCAAUAGGUUUUCGAUUAAUUCGAACGGUAGAGUAACAUGAAACUGCAAUUGAGAGUAGUAUUUUUGCAAAAGAAAAGAGAGAAAUUUUUGUGAAAUUUUAUACCUGAAAGAUGGCAAAAAGUAUCAUGAAAUAUCUAUGAAAUAUUAACAAAGGAAACUGUCGUAAAAAUAAUGAAAAGUUUUGUGUAUUCCUAUCUCGAUCAUUCGUUUAAGGUCGGGGAUGGUCGGUUAGAAAGCGUCUUUUGGAAACAAAAAAAAUUCAUUCACGCUCGGCCACAGUGUACAUACACGCGUGCAUGCGCGUCCGAGAUACGGGGCCUCUUUACGAGCAAUAUCUAAUGGAUUGCAUCGACCGAGCGCAAACGUUAAAUUUGACGUUCACGAUUAUUGCGGCCCUCCGGGGAGGUCGUCGGAAUACAGCAGGGAAACACAGGGGGGAGGGAUGGACGACGCUCGACGUUAAUUUUAUAAUCCUGGCGAAAAAGUUACGACCCUCGAGUCGACCGAGUCCGGAUCUCUUUUCCUCUUUUCCAGCUAUGCUUUUAUACCCUCCGCGCCUACCCCACCCCCGUACGGUGUUCAACGGUUCCCGCUUUGUCACGUUCUAUCGCUAAAUCUCGCGGAACUACGAACACUCUUGCGCCCGGCGAAUUCUCGACAGGAUUUCCUCUGCUUUUCUCCCUUUUUCCCAUGGAAAUCUACCGGUACUCGGCUUUCGUGAAAAACUCGUUUAAUACGUUUAACGGUACGCGACGUUUGCACUCGUGUGUUAUACUAGUUUCAUUGUCCGAGAAAUUGUAUCAUCGCGUGCGAUGAAGAAAUAAUUUUGCAAGAAAAUUUUACGAAGAAUAGUUUUGAAAAUUUAGAAAUUCUCAACUAUUCUCAUAAAAAAAGAAAAAGAAGAUAAGCUCCGAAUAAUUCAAGAAAUGCAAGAAUUUCUUAAGACACGCCAUCCGCAAUCCCCUCAAAGAAUGUUCACCCUUUGAGAUUACAUAUUACCAGAUCGCGACAGCCAGUGUAUUUAGGUAAUUUCCGUGCUCUUUGCCAGCUCAUCACGGUCGGUCACGGUUGGAACCGCUCGCGAGGCAUGGCAAGUCGAAAGGGUUGUAUCGCGGGUGUAAUAUUCAUAAGUAAGCGGCUUGCUUUUCGCGCUCACCGACGGCUGUUAAGUUUAACGGAGUUACGCGUAAACGGGUCUCACUUUGCGCUUAAGAAAAUCGCUUUGACGGAGCUAGAUCGUUUCCAGGAGUCGAGAGGGUGUCUCGUAAAGCCACGGCUCUUUUAGCUUGUCUAAAGGUUCGUCUCGCGACAGCAACCGAGAGGAAAUUCUUGCCAGCCAUUCUUUCGUUUUAUUGUUUAUUCAAAAGCUCGUUAGAAUUUCAUUGGGAAGGCGGAGGGUUUGGUCGUUUACGUGCAACGCGUACGCGAAACGAUCCUGUUUAAGGGGGUGUAAGCGGCUUUUUUUCUCUUGGGGUACAAAGGGCCUUGUUGCCGUGCCGAAACAGCUUUUUGACUGGCUCGUUCUGUUUAGCCUUCGCGAGGAAUAAUUAACGCGGUAUCAAAAGAGAUUAUGAAAAUUCCACGGACCGUGUGCCGUAUCGCUUUAAGAACAAAAAUUUCAACCCGGAUGAACAAAUAGAAGAGAUAUAAACGUGUAUUUCUGAAAGAACAUUCAAAAAUCUUUGCGAAUCAUUUUGGAAAGGAAGAAGCAAUUUAUUUCAUUUGUUUUUAUUCUUCGAUAGUUAAUUAUUAAAAAAACACAGAAAUUGUGAAGAUGGAAUUUUCUAUCUCUGAAAAUCUUUCAAAUAAGAAACUAGGUCACUUUCCAGGAAAAGCUUUUCUUCCAUCAUUUCGAUAAAACCACUCCUUUCAUCCUCGAAAAUUGAAAGCUAUCCGUUCCUCGAAGCUGUAGUCGAACCAAGACGAGCAACAAGCCAUAGCUUCUAAAGGAAGUAAAUUAUUUUCAAGCAAAUUCGUUCUCGAGACUGUGAUUUCCUACCCUCGUAUCAGCUCGAAACGCUUCGAAAGCAAAAUCUUGCUCGACGUCGCGGUAAUGAGUGCAUCAUCCCCAUUAUGCGACCGUCCGACGACGGUUCGUUCUUUCUACGAACCGAUGCAAGGAAUAAUCACGGGGACAAAGCGGAGCGAAGCAACGGCGCUCCGGAAAUGACGAUCCUCGAGGAGGUUCCUUCCAGCGUCCUUCUGGCGGCGGUGUCCUCGGUAGAACGUACAAUGAGCUUGUAAUACGAAUCGGCAGGAAACCGAUGACGGCGUUGUUGCGUCCUCCGUGAAGCACAAAAGCGUCCAGCAUCUAGAUAAUAACUUGGGGUAAUCAUCGAACGAGGCGUCGCGUCGCGUCGCUCGUGUUCUCGCAACGACGCAGCAGCGUCUGGAAGGAUACGUGUCUGUUGUUCGUACAGGGAAUAUGUGGCCUGGUAAUCACUCCUGUCGUUUGAAAUAAUUCGUUUCCUUCUGAAGGGAGACCAUAUGCAUGAGUAACGAUUUUCCACAGGAUUUCUUGUUUAUUCCAGCGAGUUUUUUGAGUGGAAUAAGAUGGUAAAUCAAUUUAGAAUUAGAAUUUAGUUUAAUUCAAUAAUUAUACAUAUAGUAGGAGAAUAAAGAAAAAUGAAAAAUCUAUUGAUUAAUAGCAAGGAAGAGUAAUAAUAGGGAUGAAAAAGCGAAUUAUUUCAAUCAAUUAAUUUUAAUCAAUUAAAUCAACAAUUUGAAUACAAUGGGUGAAAAUAAGUCUCGUUAGAUUUAGCUAUUUUUAUUGCGUCAAUUAACGCGUUAAACAAGCCAGCCAAUAUUUACGCAUCCUUAACACACAUUGCAUAUUUCUUUGCCUCUAUCAUCGACCCGUUUUUUCCUCAACGAUGAGAAGCGCUUAGCAGGGAGAGACACAUGUGUGUCACUCGUUGCUCCAUUUAAAAGGCGAGCUGGAGAGCAAAGGAAGGACGUCAGCAUGCGCACUUUCAUCCCGUGUAAUUAAAACCACGUCGUCGUCCUUCGGCUGGCGAGUGGAAGGAGGAUAAUGACGCCGCGACGCCAUCAAGAGACAAGGGAGGACGAUCCUAUGCGCGUGUUUCGUGCGUGCGUACACUAGCUCGCUCGCGCUUUCCCCUAUUUACGUUCGCGUUCUCUCGUUAAUGUUUGCCUCCACGAAACCGGCGUCCCGACGCCUCAGACCUCCUUCUAACAUUUCAGAAUCGUGUUCUACCGCAUCCUCGCGUACAUUUUGCGUAAUUACCGCGGGAGAGGGUAACAACCCCCUUUUUUCUAUUCCCUUCGUUUACUGUUACUUUAUCAUUUUUAGAAUCGAAUGAAGUAGCUGUAUUUUUUUCUUCAACGAACCUUCCUUUGAAUGAAUUAAUUACUGAAUAAUCAGAUGACCACUAUUUUUUCGUUUAUACCCUAAAAGCUUUAGAACGAAAAUGCAUUGCUACUGUUUUUAACAGGAUCGCAGUUCGGUUAACGAAAUUCCAUUCAAUUUCACCAGUCCAGCUCCUCGAGAUCCAACGUCCAAUGGAGCAGACAGGAACUCUGUAACCCCCUUCGGAAAACUCGUGACUUUUUCUCGACAAUAUUUACACCAGUGCAGCAAUUUAUCGAAACAAGUUGGAUUAUAAAACCGCGACAGAUUAUUACCGUUGAAAUUCCUUCGCGAGUUUCUUUCGAUUACAAGAAUCGCGCGAAAGUUGACGUAAAAAGCUACGAAACUUCACGGAUUAACCUAUUAACCCGGUGUACAGGUUCUUAAGCAAUUCUUCGAAGUUCGUUUCCUCACGGAACAACGUCGUUUUCCAACUAUCAUAAUAACAGGCAUUAAAACAUGAGAUACGCGUCGGACCACUCGAGAAAACUCCAAUUUUCCGUAGCGAAAGAAAAAAACGAGCUCGGAGCUCGGGGCUUUCUUUUCACCCAGUUCGUUGGUAACGUUUGUCAACAAGCAUCCUCUUCUUGGUCAAUCCCUUCUAACCGUCCCCUUGUAAAAUCAUUCGGGCUACUUGUAGAAACGAUUUACCAUCGAAGUUCUGAAAGGUUGUCUUCGCGAGCUGAAAGUUUCGCGAAAGUUUGCCAGGGGCGUCGAUCGGUCGUCUUUAAAGGUAGGACGUUGCCCCGGGUUCGCGUGAAGGGGUUUGGUACCACUGGCAUAGAUGCAUAAACGCGUAGCACGCACGCACUCGCUUACACAAGCGCAGCUAGCAGCACGGACCGUGACGUGCGUGUGGACGAACAAGACGAGCGGUACCUACAUUACAUGCAAAUAAAUAUGCCAUGCAAGAGGGGUGCAGGGUGCGAGGGAUACGACAGGGUGCAACAAUAGGCCCUCACCAGUCGCCAUGGUAACACCAUCAAUCCCUUAGCAACAGCUUGAGAUCUUAAAGCCGAGAGGAUUCGCUGCGACUCGCGCGGAUCAUUUAAUGACGGCAUACGCGAUUGAACGAGGUCGACCGAGGUCACGACUUCGGGUCACCGGGUUCCUAGGUUCCUCAAGGCUUUGAAUGGAGAAAGCUUUAGGAGAGGGUAAGUUGGAUAUGUAGGAGUAAGGAAGAGGUUUCCUUUUCAACCCUUUCCUUUACGAUCGAGCUUGGAUAAUGAGAAACGUAGAUACAUUUUAUUUGUUGUAUAAUUUUAUUAAUAAUUUACAAUAUUCGGUGGUGGUAAAUGUAUAUUAAUAAGAAAAAAAUGAAUCCACCGUGCAGAUCGAAAGAUUCGUCCACGAGACUGUCGAUAAAAGCCCGGGGGUUAAAUCUUCAUUCGGUGAAAUCCAUCGAAUCCCAGGUUUCCCAUAAACCGGGACGGACUUUAAUCACAGCAGGGGCCGCGUUAUCAAAUUUCCAUGCUUCCGCUUCGUCCUCGACUACUCGCCACCGUUCGUUCCUUUUUCCGCGGUUAUCGUGGACGAGACGUGACGAAAUACGUUUCCCGCUGCUUUUCAGCCGGCUCGUACGUGACGAAGAUAGCGAUUUGACAAAAAAGGAAGCGACGGUUCGGGGCGAGUAAUCGCGAUGCAAUUAUCGUCGGACGAGCUUAUAGGAUUCUCCGUCGCGUCCAAAGAGGAAAUCCUCGCUCGAAGGCGACUUUAAAGAUUUUCUUUCCCAUUCAUUCCUUUUCGUGCAAAAAAAAAAAAAAAAAACAUAAUACGUCGAAGUAGAAUCUUCAGUUUGGCUCGUUUCCUAGCGGAAGCUACACUUCCCUCUGCAUUCUCGUUUUUCCAUUCGUCGAGGAGCGAACGCAUCCUGCUAGCGCGCCGUGAUUCAUUCGUCGACGCAAUUUACGUAUUUAUCGCGCGAAAUUUCGGCCAGCUUCCUCUCGCAAAUCCGCCGCGAGAAGGAGCGAGCUCGUUUCGCUGACAGCCGACAACCGGAUGCGCUCGUUUUAUCAGAUUUUAGGUUGACGGGCCCUUCUUCUCGAGCCGAGGCCACGGAACUGCUCGGUUAAUUAACCGUGUCCGAGGAGAAAGGGAAACGGAACUGGGUUCGCGAACCUGUCCAUCAAAUAGUCAACUCUUUUCUUUUUCCUACCACCGUCUCUAUGCUAAUUUAAUUAAAACAACUCUUUUGACUUUACAGAGUAGAACGAUACAAGAGAAGAGAAAAUAGAUUCGGUUACUGUAUGCUGGAUUGUUUUAUUCAAUUUAUCUUCGCUAAAUUAUUCUCCUCAAUUCAAUCGAAGAUGAUUCAAUUUACCGCUCAUUAAGUAUAGCAUUCCCAUGUUAGAACUCGGAGUUCGAUUGCUCGAACGCACAGAUAGAACCCGUAACCGGAAACCCUAGCCUCUUAGUCAAUGGGUCGAUACUCCGAGUGCAUCGGUGCAUUCGGUGCACGCCAUGCACCGACGAUAGUCCCGAAUUCAAUUCGGCUAAUGCCGUCUUACGAUCCUCGCGGCGAUUCUCCACGAAUCACAUUCAAUGAACAUAAACUCGCACUGGUUUCAUCUUUAAUCUAUAUUAAUUGCAUCCUUGAUCCUUUCGCUACGAUAAUGUAGAAAAGCACUCAAUGAUCAUUUAUCAAUAGACGACUGAACUCAACCUUAACUAAGUAAAAGUAGAGCGAGACUCUCUUUAAAGUCAACCCUUGGAACUAAACUAAAACUUUUUAUCAACUUAUUUUGAAGUGGCAAAAAAAAAAAAUUUGUUGGCCAUUCGUUGAAAUUUUGACCCACUAAACAAAUGGCGCAAGAAUUUCUGUACAAAAGCGACAGAAAAUCUAAAUGCUCUUUAGCCCCUUUCUCAAGAUUUUCAUUCUUAUUGUUAGAUACGGGUUGGCUAAUAACGAAAGAGUUAAACUCAAAUUAAACCCAUUAAAUUUCGUAUUUAUUCGCGCGCUAUCAACGCAGCUUCGCGUGUCCAUCUUUGGUGAAGCGACAGCAACUUGAAAAUUGGCAGAACGUUCCGCGAGCCCCGUGGAUCGGGCAUUGAUUAAUGGCGCGCCUGUUGCAGCCUUGGUUACAAUGCAAUUUGCUUUGCAGCGGGUCGUUCCGUAUCCCGCGCGCUCGUAUGCAAGUGUGUUUGC
This is an RNA transcript of Osmia bicornis bicornis, 9577 nucleotides long. RefSeq lists it as uncharacterized. The record is from RefSeq and is a predicted model, not a curated record. The transcript has 4 exons. NCBI's taxonomy places the organism in Eukaryota, Metazoa, Arthropoda, Insecta, Hymenoptera, Megachilidae.